AAGUGCCCAGGCAGUGUUCACUUAGCUCCUGUUGGAAGAGGUUGCCUCUAGUGAAAACAUAGUAGUAGUGAUAGUCAUUCUCUGACUCCUGUGAUGGCCCUCUGACUUACAUGCUAUUAACAUUCCCUUUAUGAAUGAAAAAACUGAGGCACAGGGAAACUUAGUUUAUUUCCAUGACUAUAUAUUAUGGCUUGUGGCAUGCAUUUCCAAGUGUCCUAAUGCUGGAGGAAUAGUUGUGACCUUGUUCUUCAGGCAUUAUUGUGGUGGGCAGGUGGAGAAGGAAUCAGGACUCUGAUACUUCCCAGAGAAGAACCAAAUAGUCCAUAGAUCCAGUGACAUCUCUGCUGAGGUGAAUGCAAGGGGUGUGAGACGGUGCUCAGAUAACCACAGAGAAUGUUUUGGGCAGGGCAAAAAAUAAUGAAGCCAUUUCUGAGGAUCUGAGAGGAAGUGGAUUUCUGGGACAAUGGAGUAGAGCAGGAGAGGUAGGAAUGGCCACAGGGCGGCAAAGAGCCUGACUCCUUAGUGAUUCUGGAAUAAUUUGGAGACACUGGGAGUGUUGGAGGAAUUAGACAGUUUCUCACUUGGUAAAGGUACUCUAUGAGGUUACAGUACCGAGAACUGAGUUGUGAGAGGUGAGGAGUGUUACUAAGGGCAUUCAGGUUGGGGCACCUGCUGUUCAUGGAGAAACUUCGGGGCCUGGAAUCACAGCCAGUGAUCUACAUGAACAGGGACAGCUACACAUUCAGUCGAGACUUGCUUGAAUAUUAAGGCUCCCAAGAACACCCAUUGAGCAGUGGCCAUGAGGUCAUCAGAGAAUUGAAGCCCUGUGGGCCACACUCAGGACCCCAGUCCCCAGUAUUCUGUGAGCGCUGAAGUACCCUACCCUGAUGGCCAUGAUAUGAGAGAAGAAGACUCAUCUAUUGAAACAAUCAAAUGUCCCAGCAGACUUCCCAAUGUGUCUGUUAGGCAUCAUCCUGAGACUGGGACACCAUUUCCAUUCAAUGAGCACUGACUAGUUCCAGCUCUAUCCCUCCAUCCAUCCUGGAUCCAUCUCAGGUGUCUAAAGAGCCUGGUGCUGAAUGCAUCUCCCUCUGCUGCUGUGCUGGUUCUGAAACUUGUGACCACAUCUGAGUCCAUCUCUUCUGCAAUCUAGGACCUAAAUAUCAGGGAUUACUUUUCCUCAUUUCCUCAUUCCCUGAGUAUUGAGAGUUUCUACUUUCUUCUCCAUCAACUGUGGCCUUGGUGAUGGACCCUCUAUAAGGAGAGACCCAGUGUCUGAUAAAGAUAAGAGAUUGUCGGGAGGGAAGAUACGCGGCUGAAAACACUGCCAUUGAGUGUGGUUGAAUACCAAGGAACUUCCUGCCUGGCCCGGUGUUUUCUACAUAGUCAAUAUCCAUUUCAUUCUAAUUCAGGAGUGGGAACCUCCAAUCUCAGACAGGGUAGUGGCAGGGCACAGAGUAGGACUCUGGUGUGGCUUUAAGUUCUGAGGGUCUCUGGUUGUUCUAGUUCUCUACUUGUACUGGAAUGCUGAUGAUAAACAUCCUAAAAACUUUCAUGCUCUUUCUGAGACUAAAAGGCUGCUGUCUUGGGUGAUUGAUACUUGUAGCCUAAGAGUGGAGGAUUAAAUAAUGUUGCCUUUGUACUACCUCAGGAGGAACUGAGGGGCUCUAAAUUUCAGCCUGCUAGUCAGAAGUCUCAGGAAGAAAAAGGGACACUUUGAAAAGUGAGUAUAUACCUGUCUCUUGAGAGGCUCUGCCAAAUCAUGACAAAGCAGAGGUGGACCCUCACAGUCAACAACUGAACUAAGAACAGGGUCCCCAUUGGAGGAGUUAGAGAAA
Molecule: long non-coding RNA, 1838 nt
Filed under: Rattus norvegicus (Norway rat)
Lineage: Eukaryota; Metazoa; Chordata; Mammalia; Rodentia; Muridae
Description: long non-coding RNA NONRATT025311
Source: RNAcentral